AACUGCUCUCUGAUUAUAGGCAAACAAAGUCAUCUUUGUAACAAAAUGUGCAAACAAGUUGCUAUAGUUUCGUGGAUUAAAAAAUGGAGCGCAACGGAGACGCAGAAAUUUUCCAUAAGUCUGAUUCCAAAGGGGGGCAAAAAAAACUCUUGAGUUUUAAUAAUGAAAUGAAAGUUAAUUUUCCGCAAGGUUCUUGUUUGUAAUUUAAAAGUUGUUUUCAUUUUAUGAGUGCCAAGAGGGACAUUAACGAUGCAAAACACACCAAGGUAGUUGCUACGAGAAAGCAAAGAAUAAAAAUGAAAAUGAAACUAUAAAAAUGUCGAGCGACCGAGUGAGAGAGUGAGAAAGAGAGAUGGGGGAGAGUGAGAUAAGAGUAAAAGAAAUAGCACAUAAAAAACAAAAGGUGAAUUACUUGGGAAGUGUGCCUCGGAGAGACAUUUUUGUGAAUUUACCUGAACACGUUUUACAGUAAUGAUGACAUUUUUGGCAGCCGAAUUCCGAUUUAAAGAAACCCUCUGGACAUUCGGGAUGACACUCGCCACUGGCUAAUUGCCAAUCUUUUGGACACUGCACACAUUGAUCGCGUCUCGGUCCACUGCACGUUGCACAGCUCAAGUAGCACUUCGAGCAUGUUCCACGAUCACUGUAGUAUCUGUUUAAGUGCGGGCAUUAAGACCGGCCCCAAGCAAACGGAAGAAAGAAAAUGGCAGAAAAUACGUUUCGUUAAUUUAUAUUCGGUUGGAAUUUUUUAUUCUAUUGUGAAAUGGGAUAAAGUAAUCAAAUGUAUGCAUGAGCACAUUCUGUUCUUGAUGGCAACAGAGAAAUAUGGAGAUACGGUCACACCGAGCCGAACAAGCGACGACCUGGAUAAAAUGCAAAACGAUAUGAAAAGAUACUCAUUUGGAUGACACGUACGUACGUAAAUAGGUACGAACGCUAGCUGCUUCAAACAAAUGCAAACCACGCACAUACACUUGACCAACACUCGGCAAAUGUGUCACAUUCUCACAUCGAACACCACAUUUUAUGCAAUGCAUGAGCCCUCUAUGCGCUUCCACUGUGUCCAAGUGCACAGCAACUUAAAUAAAUGGGAAAGAUUUUUGUUGAAGCCAUCUACAGCAGCAUCUCCGAGAAUCGAGUGGGCCGAGUUGAAAAUUAUUUGUUUUAUUACUUCGUUUGAGUUGCUUGUUUUUGGUGGCGGUCAGGCGUUUGCGUUUUGUAUUUUUCACAUUGUGUGACAGUGAUCUCUUCUUCUUUCCGAAACCAAAAUGCAACUCGAGCCCGAGAGUGCAUGACUGCGAUUGUGCUCAAAACAUCGGAUCCAUUGUGCAUGGCAUAACAUUUGAAAUCCCAUUGCAAAAGCCAAAGCCAAUCCAAGCCAUACGACUUUCGCCAUCAAAUGCAUAAGGUUUAAUUACGUAACUUACCCUUGAGCGCACGUUGUUCGACAUUCACCGCUUUGUAAUUGCAAUCCUUUGGAACACGCCGUACAAUUCAUACGAGACACACAUUGGGUGCAAGUGUGUAAGCAUUUCGCACAAACUCCCGCUUCCAUGUAGUAGCCAUCAUCACAGAUUUUGCUGAGCAGAAACUUAAUUGUGCUGAACAAACUCUAGCCAUUAAUUUCGGCAAAGCCGAAAAACGACUUUUGGAAUUAGCAUGAAAGACAAUAUGUUCAGAUGUUUGUGCAAUGUGUGAAAAACAGUGGUUUACAUUAAAAUGACCGUCGGCCAUGAGAGAUUCAAUUUGGUAUGUAUAAUGAACAUGAACAAUACAAUGUCACAUAAAUCACUCAAUCUCAACGACAAAAUAACAAAUCAAAAUGGCAAAAAAGAAUGGCUCGUACUGGGUAAAGCCGAAACGCUGCAGGUAAUUAUGGCUUGAUUCAAUGUAAUGGUAAUUGAGUCUCAAAAUGAAUGUACAAUUUCCAAUUUCGACGUAAUAAUUAUCUUAAAAAUUAGGAAGAUGAAACUGAGAUGCAGCUGUCGGAGGGUAUAAAGAACGUUCCAACAAUUCAAAUCACAAACACGCCCAUCACGUUAUACUUAUUUUAUUAUGUUCUUUAACGGCUUUCUCAUUAUGUCGUAUUUUUAUUUUCGGUUGCGAUUUUUCUUACUUUUGUGUCUCCGACAUUUCAUAAAAUGGAUGCUCAUUUGUUACCGAUCUUCGGCAGUGGCCGUCAGUUGUAAGCACUUAUUUUCUGUCUCAUUUAAUGACACACUUUAAUAAGUCCACUUUGUAUACGCGUUCUUACAAAAUGAAUUAAACGACCGAAAUGUUGUUUUCUUUGGUAUUGCACCAUAAAUGUAUUACUUUACUAUGACGAGGCGGUGUUCUUUUAAAGAUUUUUUUCUCCUGUUGCUUUACGAUAUUUCAAAGUAUCAUUUUAAUGAGAAAAUAAUACGAAAUAAUCUUGAUAAAAUGUCCUCAGCAUAAAUAUGGUAAAUUAGGGGAAUAAAAUGAAUGAGAUACGGAGUAAUCAGCGAAGUCGGUGAAGUUCAUAAAUAAAACAAUUACCCAAAUGCGUAACGUUUGUCAUAAAUCGUGUUUUACUGGGACAGGUGAUUUUCAUGUUCUGCAGAUGGAAUUGAGUAUCUAUCCUCGUGGGAGCUAGCAAAUUUGAUCAACUGUCAAAUGUUUCGUCUGAAUUACGGCAGAUAGAAAUUCAAAAUGACGCGAAGUAGUUGGCCGACAUGGAAUAACGAACAUUAUGACACAAAGGAUGAUUGCUGCGAAGCAGCGAUUGUUUAACAUUUUUGAAAAGUCGAAAUUAUGUCAGUUUCGGAUUUUCGCCGGAGGUUUUGGAAGAGAUUUAGUGGUGCUGUUUGAGCGAAACGCACUGCAAUGAUGGAAAAAAUGAUGCUUUUGCUAGAGAAACUUUGCUCUGUGUAUAUAAUGAUGCGAUGUAGUUUAUGAAAACGCGCUAUACAGGGACAUAAAGGGAUUUUCAUCUGACGACAAAUAAAAGAGCGCUGAGCUGCGUUUCACAGUAUGUGAAGCGCUUGGCGGUGGCCAGGCAGAGCGAUAAGACACACACAGAGAUAGAAUGAGAGAGAAAAAAGAAAAAUGGGAGAUCGAGAUAAAUAUGUGGAUGUAAUUUGCUCCGCUGCAUGUGAUGUGUGUACAGAAUAGAAGAAAAGCAAAUAAAGUGCUCAGUAGCGCAUUUGUGAGCGAUGGAAGAACAAAGACGACAGCUGAUAAAGAAGAAAAUCCAAUUUAGUUCGAAUAUAAAAUGUUGAAAAUAUCCGCACGUUGUACAUGAAAAAAAAAUGUACAGCGAUGCGCGAGUGCUCACACACGCGGCGCUAACACACACACAUUUGGUUUUCUUUCUAUUCGUUCAUUCAUUCGUUCAUUCGCCCUUCACACUAUCACACGCUACACACUUUUGAAUAGCGCUAGUUUGUGCAUACGCAAUGUUUUGGGUUGUGUUUAUUGUGAUCGUGUUAAUAUAAAAUUCAUCCGCCAAGAUCAACGCACAUCUCCCCUUUUCUCUGCACAAAAGAUUUCUUGCGAUGCCAAAAUUCGUCGACAUCCUAACCGAACGCUCAUUCCAGAUGGUAUUACAUUCAACAGAAGAUUUGUGUAUUUCUAAGGAGCUUUUCGAUGCAUUUUACAUGUGAAUCGAUUUAAGUGAUGAGCGCAUCGCAUCUCUGGCGCUAAUUUCUUUGAAUUUGAUUCAGCUUCUGCUGGCGUUCAAACGUUCCGUUUUUAUCCCCAUUAUUUUCAUCACUUUAUAUGGAUGGAAAACAAAGGAAUCGGAACAAGAAGCGAGUUAAUUCACAUAACGCGAUUAUAUUAUGGUAUUAGCCGAGUGUAAUGGAAAGUCGCACAUGAACACUAUCCGAUGUAGCUCUAUGACGGGAAGAAACGAAAAAGCUAUUGAUAUUCUCUAUAAAUGGCCAUAAAAUAGACUGAAUGAACAAACAUAAUGAGUAAACAACACGCGUACAAACGCUGUGUGUGCUCGUAGAUAGCUUUUGCUUGAAUCGCAUCACCAUCCACUGCCUCAACGCUUCAAAUACAUAAGGAAUUUAGCGCGCUAUUUUUAUACACAUACAAGCUCAACAGCUAAAAAGAUUGCUCGCUUCGCUCACCACUCUUUCCUGUCUCUCUUUUUUAGCCUCUUGCUGUGUGUAUUGCUCUCCUAAACGUGCACUUUUUGCUUUCAUUUUUAUUACAUCAUUACAUAUUUUGAUAUAAACACCAUCUACACUUUAUGUAAUAUAGAAUAAUAAACGAUGUGAGUUUGUUGUCGUUCUUCGGUUGUUUCUCUUGGCUCGAUGUUCUUUUUGUGUUUUUGGUUCCGUUCGGUUCGUUUGUUUUAUGCACAUGUGAUUCGGUUUUAUUGGACCAAAAAUGAUUUUACUAUGUGCAUAAGCCGUUCGUAUUGUGCCAUACUUCUAUAUGUUCCGUAUAAAAUACGUUAUUGCUCUUGGGCUUAAUCUCUCAUAUUAUCUUAUUUCCAAUUUUUUUUCUUCUCUUCUCUCUACUCUUUCACCAACUUCUUCUCCAAUUUUCUUUUUAUUCUCGUGUUGCUCUGUAUAUAUUUUCCACUCGGAGAGAGCAUGAGAGUGUUGGCUGUCGGAAUAUGUGAAAAUGAAAACAUGCGAUUUAACUUUGUACAAGCGAAGAAAAACGCCAAGAAAAUGGCAAAGCGAGGAAAUGCGAUUCGAUAUAGAGCAAACGAAAGACGACAGAGAAAAAAAAACAACAUAACUGGAAGCAGCAAAUCGAAUGAUGUGAAGAAAAUGAAUCGGAAUGGCUUCACAGAUUUCAGAUGGUCAGUGGCUGUUGAAAGGAAAAAUCAGAGUCAAAUGAAAAUAAAAACAAGUUGAGAAAAGAUGACGCUUUGGAAAAUGGAAUGUGUCACAUAGUAAUCGAAAACAUCGAACCGAAACAGAAACCUCCCGAAUGUGCUCCACACACACACACACACACACACACACACACACAAACACACAUACAUUUUGCCCGUUUGGAAUGAGUUUUAUAAUCAAAUGCAUUGAAAAUGUCAACUAGUUUGUAGUAUUAUUAUGUUUUGUAAGCAUCCGGCAACUUGAUUGGUGAUAAACCUCAACCCAUUUCUAUUUACCACAUCGCCCUUAGUCCCCUGGUCGCUUGGGUUUUUCCAUCGCAACGGUCGUUUUCGAGCAGCAAUAACACCAAAAGUGGAAUCGUUUCUUGCCUAAGUACUUACAUUCAUCACAAUUAUCACUUCCGUUCAGAAUGCAACGGUUCUUUUUAUUUUUGUUCCACUUUUCUUUGCAUGUCAAGCAGAAUCCGUUGUUGGUGCACGUUUCGCAUCCGGUUGGACAUUGCAUACAUUCUUGCCGCUUUUUAUCACCAUAAUAGCCCGUUGGACAGUUAUUCAAGCAUUUCCCUUCAAAAGAAAAACGUCCGGUACGACAUGUUAUGCACUGCGUUUCCGACGAACCAUUGCACGUCAAACAGGAUGAAUGACACGAUGCACAGCUAGAGAAAAGGCAAAAAAAGCAAAUUGAAUUGGUUAGAAAUAAAUUAAAUUGUGGUUUUUAUUACGAAACUAGUGAAAUCUAUGAAUAUGUCUGCUUGAUUCGGAAAUCAAACGAAGAGAGAGAAUGCUCGGUGAAUGCCGUAUUUUCUCCGAGUCAUUUCUCUUUUUUUUCAGUAGAUAAAUACACAUUUUUUGCAUGCGAUGCAGGUAUAAGUCAAGCUAUAAUUGAUUUCUAGUGGUUUUCUGUUGUUCCCCCUUUUUUUGAGCGGUCAUCAUUUUGCACCAACUUGACUCCCAAUCUACCCCACCAAAUCGAGUUGAUUCGAAACUAUUUCUACGUUGGCGAAAAAAAGAACACGCAGCGAGAGCCCGUGACAACAAUUAAUUGAUGCCCCAAACCGAAACAGACGUAGUUUAUGCACGGCAGACAAUAGUUUAUUGUUGUUUGUCUGUUUAAUUGGUUUAUUUCGAACAUUUAUUUAUUUAUUUCAACCAAAAGCGAAACGCCAUUGACAGCGCCAAACAGACACAUACACACAAACGCAUGCAAGCACGAAAAAAAAUGUGCUUCCAAUAAAUGUAAUCCAUUGCAUUUCCGAUUUGGUUGACGUGGUAUCGAUAUGCUGAGCGAAAAAAUGCAAUUAAAUUGUAAUUUAAAUGCCAGUUCUAUCGAAAAAGUGAUUACGAUAGGCGGCUAUGCAAUAUAUGAACUGGUUUUUGAUCUUUCAUUUUUACGUUGAAUGGGUCGUGUCAGUCCGUCCAUCGGGACGCUUUGUAAAUUGGUCGACAGAUCAAGUGUAAAAAUAUUUUAAACUUUUUUUUUCCCAAAAUGUGUAUUCACAUCGAUAAAAAUAAAACAGAGCGGCUAUUAAAUUGGUUACCGCUGAGUAUCACAAAAACUCAGAGCCAACGGCAAUGUCUUUGAUACUUUGAAGUUAUUCAAAAUGAACCAAUUGAUAACGAUGGGAAAUGAGGUUCGGUUUGUGACACACAGCAAAUAUCCUGCGGUUCUUGUGCUCACACUUUGAUGUCAAAUUCAUGUAGAAAACAAGCAACAAAAAAACUUAUUGCUUACCCACCAAAUAAAUCUGCAAUGAAUAUUUUAAGCCAAGGCAAAGCCCAAUUAUUUCAUUAUUAUGUGUGUGUUACAUAAUCUCUUUUACGGACACCGAAAGCGACCAGUGACAAUAAAUCCAAUAUAGAAAUUGUAUGUAAUUUGCUCAUUUUCACUGACCGUUUAAGUAUCACUGGCGACCACAUUAUUUUUAUUGAAAAAUUAUCUGUAAUGUGUUUUAAAUUUCAUUUGGUCAGCAUGGCUUUAUGAAACCAUUGCAGCUUGCAUUCUGUACGUGAGUACAUUUGUGUGUCUGAUAUUUGUGUGUGUGUUUUACGCCAUAAAACGAGUUGAGUUGUUGUUUAUCCGUUUGUCGGUUGAAUUCAAAUUUUCUCGUUUUGUUUGAUGAAAUAUGCAAUUUCAUUGGAAUUAUUUUCCCCAUUUAUAAUACAGAGUUUGUCCAAAAAAUCCCUUUUACCCAUGGCCACAUCAAAGACAUAUUGGGAUUUGGUGAAGUGGUUUGGGCACGUUUUUAUGCAACCACGGCAAUAGUUUUGAAUUAUUUCAAUCGAAUGCAGUCGACUUGUUGGAUUUUGAGAAUUAACAUUAACACAAAUGGGCCGUAAUUGUGAAGAUCAAUGCCGAUUUGUGAAAUAGACCGGUUUAAUUGAUGAAAACAAAUCAACAUUUUCAAAUGAAACUUUUUUCCACUGAAUUGAAAAGAUUUUUAUAUUAUUCAUCACGGUUGUUUUGUUAGAUUUUGACUAUAUAGUUGAUUAGUUGUUUUUCAAAGCUUUUACAAAAAUUGCCAUGUUUUUGAUAAAUGGAGAUAAUUGAUGGCAAUGGAGGGACUGAGAAGUUGUUCCAAUCAAUUCCAAAGCCCGAAAAACUGUUUAAACCGAUUUAGGAAUUCAUUUGCAUUUUAAAGCACGUUCAUAUUAAUUGAAAUAACAGCUUCAGCUUUACGUACGAUAAAGUUAAAAUAACUGAUUUUGAAUGUAGAGUUUGUUGGGCAAUUCGAAUUAAAAAGUGAAGCAUUACGAAAACAUUGAAAACUGAUUGAUUGAACGGCAGAUUUUUUCAUUAAAUACGUGUUGAAAUCAAGCCGAAUAAUUAAUUAGCCCCAUAAAUAACUUCAUCGGAAUCAUGAUCAAAGAAAAUGGAAUGAAUGUAUGUAAGAGGAAACAGGAAGAAAAUCCGUUGCCACCAGUUGAAGUGAUUAUAGGUAUAAAGUGACGGAAUGAAAAUUUCAAUUACCCCGAAAAUGAAAAUCGAAAUCAUCUAUUCAGUUGGUGUUUGCAUUUUUGGUUAUUUGCGUUGAUGAUGAAAUUGAAAACGAAACGUAAAUUUUGCACAUCCACUUGAAAUCGAUGUAAAUUUGACGGUAAUGAUGACAUUCGACGAGAGUAAGACUCUCGUUCGAAUCCACUCGCAUAUGACGUAUGAAUAGGAGGAAAUGUCGUAAUCUACUCGAGAUAGCAAAGCAUCACCACCGAGUCAUAGUACGAAAAUCAGCCUAACGAACGAACGAACGAACGACGAACAAACGCGUGGGUGAACGAGUGAGACGAUGGUGAGGUGGUUACGAAGUGUAAAACCAUGCCGCAAUACCGUUGUCGGUUUUAUAGUUUACGAUCGUAUUGAAUACAGGUGCUGUCUAUAAAUUGAAUUUAACAUUGAUUGAAGUGGUCGUUGUAAGCAUAUUCCGUAGACAAAUACAAAUGCCUCGAGCAUAUUUGCCUGUAUUGUGUAUGUGCGUGUAUGUGGUUAAACGAUAAAUCCGCACACAAACAGCAGCGUGGCCGACACCGGCACACUCAGGUAGACAUUGUAUUCGUUUAAAUUUAAACGAUUCAAUUAAUCUUAUCGAGUUGAGUUUGGGUAUGCUUUUAUUUUAUGUGGCUUUCAAAAUGGUAUGGCUUUGCAUCAAUUUUUCAUUGAUGGUUUGCCCGAUGUAAACCUUUGUGUGCCGAGUUGGGAUUACAGCGAAUAUUGACAUGGAACAUCCUCUUGCGCUUCUCCAUUCCCUGAUUCCGGGCUUUUAUUAAGUGAAAUUGAUGUCGGAAUCAUUAUUGCCAUUGUUUUGUAGCCUUUCAACGCUUCUUCACUCAAUCCGUUCAUUCAUCAAUCCGUAUAGUGACCGUAUACAUUCAAAUAACAGCCUUUUCUCUCGGAAGAGUUUUCGGCAGGAAGAACUUGAUUCUUACAUUUUGUAAAUCGAAGUUAGAUUAAAUAUUGAGAUUAAAACAUAUCUUGUUAGAGAAUAUAUUUUGCGAUGCUUCAUUUUUUGUUGCACACAAGCGAGCAGGCUGCAGCUCACUUAGACGAAGUGGGAAAGCGUCGGGCUCGAUUGCAGUACAAACAAAAUUUUCCCUUUCUACCAUUCCUUUGGUAUUUGUUGAACCGAAAACGAAGAAACAACUUAUAACGAACAGCAAUACUGGAAACGCUAGGCGGCGGCAAAGGGAUAUUGCAACUUUUUUGACCAGAAAAAACGCCAUCUUACGUCGUGCCCGUAAAUUAUUUUACUGUACAUUUAGAUGGUAGAGCUUGAACAAAAGUUCGACACUAUGCAUAAACUUGGAAAGAGCUUGAUAAACUUGAUGAAAUACGUAUAUUUUAUGGUCGUUGCAAUACCCCUAUGGGCGGCGGCGACGACAGUGCUGUCGAAAAUGUGAAAUUUUAACAUUUUACAAAAGUUAAAUUUUAAUAGAACGACCAAAACUUUCGCCAUAUAUUUUAAUAAUGCCCAAUUCCAAUAGAAGCAACUAUAGACGAAACGGAAGAGAUAUCUUCAGCUAUUGUUCACAUGGUUUUAUUUUCAAGUUACUUUUAAUUUUUGCCUGUUUUCAUUGCAUUUAUGUAAAUGUUUCACUAUCGCUUAUGCGAUAGAGAGUUUGCAAUAUUUCAAGCAUGUGCCGGAACCACUUUAUCAAAAUCUGCACAUGAACACUACAAUUUCCCAGAAAGUAAUACCAGAAUGUUUCGUUAAUCCUAGGAAAAGUGUAGUGAACUCGAUUCCGAUCGAAUCGCUUGAGAAAGUAAAUUAGUCAAAAUUUCUUCGGUGACCUUUUUAAGAGAGAAGAAACUCAAACUGGAUAAAAGUUCUUUUUUUUCUCGGAAAUUUGGCUGCAAAACUAUUCAACACAUUGGCAUAACUAAGUUAUCCAUAUCAGAAAUGUGGUCGAAAAUAUCGAACCUUUUCGAUAUUUGUCAUUUGCAAUGCACUCAAUUUGUUUGAAUGCGUGUGGUGGUUGUGUUAAUUGUAAAGGGAGUCAUUGGAAUUUUAGUGGGCAUUUAAAACAUUACUAUCCGGCAGCCAGAUAAUUACAAAGCAAACCGAACUGAACUGAAUGCCCUAACUGAUGUUUAUCUACAAAUGGACAGUUAAAUGCGUCCAUUGCGAGCAUCUAUUGUUGGUAUGUAAUUUCAGUUCUCGCAGGAUGCAUAAAGCAUUGCUGCGUGUUUGCUAAGUUGAACGGCAUUAAAAAAAUUAACAACACGAAACCAAAUCCAAUUAAAUGAAGGCAGCAAAGAGGAAAUUGAUGGUCCGACUUCAAGUACUCUGGAAUGCUAGUGGAAAUGCAUGUGUCGUGAAAGUUUAUCAUCCAAUGGGCAAUAACGUUAUGUACUUUAUACUGUCGUUGGAUUGAAAUCGGGAGAUUGAAUUGAAAUGGGUACAUUUCCCUCAAGAACAUCUAAAUUCAACCGUUUGAAAGGCAUGUAAAAAGAAAUGCCAAAGAAAUUACGUUGAUACCGACGCCAGCUACAAAAUGCAAAUGAGGAAAAUUGUAUUUAAUUUUUUUUUUGUAGUUUUGCCCAAAAACAUGUUCAUCGAGUGUGAAAAAAAAGAGAAAAGCAUAUUUACUCGUAUGAGUUCAUUUCCAUUACAUAAACUCGUUUAAAUCACCAGGGAUUCGUUGUAUCAAUAGCUGAAUACACAAAGUUUCGCUUAGCAAAUGCGACCGCUUUGCGACGCGACAACAUUGACAAUUCGAAUCGAUAAAAUCUAAAUGAAGAUAAAUUUAUUGCAGUGCAUUUUCAUGAGCUUUUGCAACUACUGCAUGAAAAAUGAAAUGCAGUGCCAAACAGAGUGUGUGUGUAUGUGUGUUCGCGCGUGUGUCUGUGAUGCAUGUGAAAGCGAAUGUAUAUAUAUCAGAGAAAUGCAAAUAUCCGAUGUUUACCUCAUUAUACACAUUUGCAUACAAACAACUGAACUAGCAAUAAGUAAGAAAUUUAUAUUCAGUCUUUUAUUUUAUAGUUUGUCGUUGUAGAUCCUUCACUGCAAUUCCGUAAACUUACUCAGUGCUUUGUGUUUCACAUUGUUCGAGACAAUCUUAUGAAAGAAAAUGAAAAUGUUAGCAACAAACACAGCACAUGAGAUGAGAGACGUAAAUCAUUAAGCGAGCUUAAAGGAAAUUGUUUCGCUGUGCAAACUGACGAAAAUUGUGGCAGAAACAUCUAUUCGAUUUCAAUCUGAAUUUUGAAUGGGGUUCUUCGAUUCAAUGCAUAUGUGUGGAAUUUCUUAUCCAAUUCCACACAUUUCCAUUUCGAUGAAGCAAACAGUUUGAGUUUCAUUCGGAAAUGAUAUACGAAAUAAGUGUGUGAUUUCGGGUUUUGUGUGUGUUGCAGUGUUUUAUUUUCGAACCACGGAGGAUCUGAUUGCGAAGGCAACGGAGAAAAAGUGCCAGAUCAUUUUGUAAUCGGCUGCUGGAAUUAUAGAGCCAACAUUUGAAUACGGUCUGGUAAUGGAUGCUCAAGUGGAAUGAAUGUGCAAUCGGUAAUUUGAAAAAUGGCAAGGAAGAUCGUGCUAAAAGGGUAUCACUUGCCACUCUGAAACAUUAAUCAUUUGUGUUCAUCCUUGUGCACUGCACAACGCCUCUCCUUUCGACAUGCAAACGUUUCGUCUACCUAUUUCAAAGCUUUCAAUUUUUUUUUAUUUGACCGUAUCUUUUGAUAGAAUUACAUUAACUGUUUACCACAUUCUGGAACAUGGCUCACCUACAUGGUGCCGUUUCACAUAUCGUCCAAAAUUCAACCGAGAAAAAAAAUCUUCAAGUGAAAGACGCGAACGGUAUGGUUUGCCUACUGAUUAUUAUCUAUUGUGCAAAAUUGCACACACACACACACGCUCACAAAAAGAACGAAGCAUAUGUGAAAAUCUCGUGAAAAAGUGUGCACGAUAGAAGUAGUUUGGCAGAGAAUCCGUUUGGAUGCUCCAUUUUAUUCAUAGCAACCGAAAUGAACGUCGAUGAGCAUUUGGUGUGCAUUUCUCACUGAAUCAGCGCAGAGGUGAAAAUAGAAAAUGACGCUUAGCGACACAACAACAAUGCUAUCAUACACUUUUUGAUUGAAAAAUAUCGUAUGUUCUUUCGGCGAUCCAGACAUUGAAUGGUGCACCUGCACAGCGACGAAAUUUGGCAUUUGUACAUCCAAAUAUUGUUCGUUAUAACAACGAAUUUUCAUCUGAAAUUAACCGAAUCGAAGUGGUAAAUGGAAUCCAAACAAUGAUACAGAUAUCAAAAUGAAAGUCAUCCACUCGCAUAAAUAAUGCGAAAUAUCCGUCUAAUGGAUGAACGGUUUGGAACUGUACCGAAUGUAAAAUAUUUUUCAAUUUUUCACCAUUCAGCAUCAGCAGACAAUGUAAAUUGAACCUUUUGAGCAAUUUUCACUUUAGCUUUUUUACGUCGCAUAAAAUGCCUGCAAGUGCUAUUGAAUAUUGCAUUUUUUUCUGGAAGUUUAAUGGAAAAAUGAAACAAGAGACUUCAAAAUCGAAUGCUGUUCCAUGUGUUUUUGCUCCGCAAAAAAAAGAUAGAGUAGAUUUGAAUUCAUUCUUCGAUAUGAAUUCGAAAAAAUUCCAUAUGCAGCCAAACACUAAUUUAAGAGGCAAAAAUACUGAAAAAAGCGGAAACACCAUUGGAUUUCUUUGCCCGAAGUCCAAUUUUCAAGUGUUCAAUUGACCGCUGUCAAAUUCCACUCAUCAGCCAUAAUUUGAUUUCGCACUCAAAAUGGAGAACAGAACGGGGGGGGAUAAUAUGGUCACAACCUAUAUCAUCAUACACAUACACACACGCACACUUCAAUUAAAUUCCAUGCUAUGGACCAACAAUGUAUAAAAUUCCAUUCGAACACAAAUUGCUUGUUCAUUCUUCACACAGAAUUUUUAUUAUAAAGCCGUUUGAUUGAUUGACCACCUAGUUGGAUACUCAAUAGCAAAACCAACGGCAUCUGAAUUCAGAAAAAUAUAGUGAAUAUUUGUUAUUUGCUAUUUAACUGUUGAGUGUGAAGUGGUCAGUGGAAUGUGAAUUCAAGCAGAAAAAACCCAUUGAAAUCAAACCGUUUCAUUUCAAUGUCAAUAAAACUCUCUUAAAAGUCCAAAGCACAAAAACUAAUUCAUCCAAACCGAAAAGGUGGAAACAUGUUAUGUUUGCCUGUUCUCAAAGCAGUAUUUAUCCACUGUACACAAUUCCCUAAAACUCUGAAUGUUUAUAGUGAAAAUCAAAUUUAUGGUCAACUGUGUAAAUACCAACAAAAAUAUGGUCUGCAUUUAUUUAUAUACAAUGAAUGUGAUUCCUGUGCUAAAUAUUUUAAUCCCGCUAAUAUAUAAAAAUACGGUUAUAUAUAAAUCUUAUCAGUGCAGCUUUCCGUAAAAAAGUGGCUUUGACUCGAAGAAAGCCGUUUGCUUUAUUUACCUACUGAAACAUGAGCCAUGGCGUUGUGCAUGUUUGUGUGUGUGCCUCGGUAUCAUGUUAAAUUCUCAACUUUAGAGCAAUAAAUUUUCAAACGCUUGAAGUCAUUGUAAUGUAAACGGGGCCUUGUGUAACGAAUGGUGCUUGAAAUGUGAUAACGUAUGGCUUUAUUAGGUAAACUACGACAUUUCGUUGCUAUCGUUCUGUCCAUGGAUCCUUGCAGCGCAAUCCGAUGAAAAUUCAAAAAGGGUAGCAGUGAUUAUUUGAAUGAAGGCUUUAUGUUUUCGGCAAAGCAAACACACACACACACGCAGCCAUAGUUUUCAUUGAGCGGUAAUUAGCACGGGUUGUGUGUCGACUUGAUACAAAAUGAAAUAUUCAAUUUCCUAUUUUAAGCCUCACACAAAAGUAAAACAGCAAGCGGUUUUUCCAAGCUAAAAUUUUUCCCAAUGCAUACUAUUGGAGCAAUGUGCCGUACUUGACAUGGUACAAAACUAUUUUGAGUGCACCCAUGAACCAAGCACCGUUUGACAAUGUCUCUGUAGUGCACCACGCAGAAUACCUAUAAACAAUGGAUUGUUGAUCAUGGACGAUAUUCAAGUAAUUUCCCGGUAAUGGACAGGUAUGAAAAUGUUGCAAAUUUUUCGAAGCCCCUGUGUGGCGCCCACUGUGCUCAGCAAGCGCAUAUAUGUAUACAUUUCUAGAAUUUCCCUUCCAUCGCCAAUGGAUAUAACUGAGAAAUGAAGAAAUUAAUUUACAAAUCCGAUGCUAUAGCUAUAACUAAAUAUUUACAUGACUACUGCUAUAUGCAAACAUUACAUUCGGUGAAUUCAGGUUCAUCUAACUUGAUUUUGCCCAAUGAGGCACGUAUUUACGUUUGAGAUGCAAUAAAUAUAAACGUAAUGGGCAAUUUAAUCGAAAUGGAAUGUACCAAAUGUCUUUGGCGCAUCACAAACAGGCAAUUACGUACACACAGUGAUUAAUGUCUCAAUGGGCUCAACUCUAACAUAUUAAAUAAAUUAACAGUUCAUAAGAUAUGGAUCGAAUAUAGUUAGAACAUGUAAAAUAAAUAGAUUCUUAGAUCGAAACAUCAAUUCAUUUGAAUGAGCAAGAGCAUGAGUAUGACCAUGACCCAUAUUCAGCUUAAGAAUUCAAGACAUCGAAUAUCAUCCGAUAUGGCAGGUAUGCAAUAGCAAAACACAUUUAAUCGAAAAGUGCUUAGCGAGUUGCAUCUUUAGAAAUUGGAAAUUCAAUUAAAUAUUAUUCUAAAGGUUCAUACCAAGUUUAAUAGAGCAAUUGAGUCAUUUAAUUUCAUUCUUUAUUGUGUAGUCAACUCGAAUCACGAAACUGAAAAUAUUUGUUGGAAUAUCUCGAACUGAAAAGACCUCAGAACUCAAUUCAAUUGGAAAUAUUAAUUUAAUUUAAAAAAAACUCUAAUUUGCCUUUCGGAGCCAAUGUCUCUCAAUAGUAAUUACUUCGCAGACUCAAGUCCGGAAUAAAUAAGUGAAACUAAAGUCGAAACACCGCGCUUGAUUUUCCUCUUUUUUUCUGUGGGUUUCGAAAAGUUUUUGAGCACCACCUUUUAGUCUCAAGCAGAUACAAUAAAAAAUCCUGCAACAUUUACUUAUUUUUUACUACUGUUGCUGGCGUCGUCUAUAUUUCAUAACUUUGUUUACUUCUUGCAAAUGAAUUAUGCAAAACUGUGUCUUGGUUUACAUGCCCGUUGAACAUUGGUAAAAGUUUGAGUUUGAAAAUUGAUUUUAAUUGAUCAUGGUCUAGUUUCGUUUUACCUUUGGUUUCAUUUUAAUCAACGAGGCAGAAUUCUAGUCUUGGUGAUUAAUUUCUUAUAAAAUGUACACAUUUCAGACUUAUUUACAUUAUUCGAUUUAUUUUUCGCAAAACUGACAUUAUUGUCAAAUUGGCCUCGAAAUUUCUGGACUCAUUGACUCAAUGGAUUGAACUACCCAAAGGAUUCCGAGCAAUGGAAAAGCCAUCGGGCUGUUUGACAAAAGCAGUAUCCAUGAAAAAAUUGCGCAAUGUUCAUUUCAUGGAAAUAAAUUUAAUGUUGAAAGUAUUCGCUCCUUGUAAAAAUGCGAAGUUAGAGAAUGGUAAUGGAAGUGGACGGCAAGCAGAGAUGUAAAAGAUGGUGUUGAUUUGAAUUAUAAAUGAGCAGUAAUGCAGAUACGGCGGGAAAAGAGCAAUUUGUAGUCUUUAAAAGACAACAAUCGCUUAUUGUUGGUCAUGUGAGCUUCAGGCAAAGUACCUUCCUUCCAGAAAAACCCGUUGGGACCUGCACGAGGAUAAAUUGGGCAGAGACUCGACUCGACUGUAGAUUUUAGACUGUAUGAAUACAAGACUUACCUCCAAUACUGGCAUUGUAUGCAACACCAACGCCGCAAAAGCUGUUAAAUGCAACAGCAGCCACUUCACCAGCACAUCGUGUUCCGUGCUUAUUAUCACCAUUAUCCUGAGGCAUUGGAUCUGAACGUCAAAAAUAAUGGGAAAAUCGUUAAAAUAAAAUCGUCGACAAAAUGAACAAAAACGAUAAAGGACAAAAACGUCAAAAAUCCAUAUAUAUUUUUUUGGUGGCCAAAAUUCAAAAACGUCAAAAUAAUCAAGUAUUCUUCAAAUGAAAAUUGGCAAAAUCGUCAGAAAUUAUUAACAAAAUGGAGUAAAUUUUAUAGAUAAACGAAAUUCUUCAGGUGAUUCUGUUUUUUUUUUUUUUGGAUUAGAAAAACCAACUUAUUUUGAAUUUAAAUUCAUAGCUUCACAGUCUGAAUUGAUUUAAAAAAAUGUCUGCAUCAAAAUUCAACUCAUAGACUCGUUGAUUUACGUUUUGUUCAUAAUCAUUGAAAUCUGUUGUAAAUUUACCUUGCUGAUAAAAUCAGAAUUACCUAAAGAAUUUCGUUCAUCAAAAAACUUUUUUCCAAUGAAAAUUGUUUUUUGACGAUUUUGUAAUUUGUAAUUUUCGACGCUUCAUCAUUUAUUUUUUUUUAAUUCAUUUUGUCUUUUGAUGAUUUUGCUAAAUAUUUUUGACGUUUUUGUCAUUUUUCUGACAUUUAUUCAAUUAACCUGAAUCAUUUCCAUUGAUGUCGUAGCUAGCAUCCGGAUCCUGAAACCAAGACAAAUAAAAACACAUUAGAAACGCUGUCUCUCUUUUUGUACACCAUGCAUUUGCUAUUCGCUCACAAAAUAAAUAACAAGCCGAAACGAAAAAAAAAUUCGAGUGGGAAAAAAGAGAAAAAAACGAAAUGAAAAUUGUACAUUGAAACAGUUAACAGUUGAGGGUGUUUUAAGGAGCAGUUUAAAAAUGGAUUGCUAUGGUGCACAUUUGCAAUGGUGACUUUUCACAUAUCUGCCAUUGAAACGAGCAUUCGAGCAAACGUGUUUACGGAGCUGAUUGCACUUGAUUUUUUUUCUCGUUUUCGUUAGGUUCGCUCAUUUUAUUGUCGUCCACGUCUAAAUAUUGUUGUUUAGCGGGCGGGUGUAUACGCCAUAAAGAAUGCAAUAUUCAAAAUAAACGCCGUUGCAAAAUUUCCAACGCAAACAAACAUAAUGCAACAACACACGAGUAAACGACAUCUUCACUCCAUUUUGCACUUGAGCGUAUUACCACGGCGUGUUUGUUUUUGCAAAUGCAUUUCUUGAAAUGGAAACUUUGAAUUUUGCAUACAGUGGCAUACAGAAUCGUGCUGUUUUUUUUCUGAUUCUGCAUUAAUAAAAAGACUAUGGUGAUGAUGUAAUCAUGAACUGUUGGAUUGGGGACGUCCUAUAAUGAAUUUUCCUUCUGAAUUUUCGCUACGUUUUAUGCGCCUGCUCUUUCGACCAGCAACAACAUCGAACAUUCACCUAUUUUCCCCCUACGAAGGAACGUUUCAGUCAUUUUAGUGAUGUCUGCAAAUUUUAUGCGGCGUUCAUGAGCAUUACCAUCUCCUCGCAAUUUUGCUGUAAAACUAACAAUGAAUUUUUCUUUGGAAAUAUUUGUAAACUAUGAUCAGGCUAUGUCAUUAAAGUGAACAGGACAUUUGUUAUUUCAGUUAUCGCUGGCAUUCCAGUUUUCGGGGUGCUAACGAGCGUGUGAGUGUGAGACUGAGAUCGAGAGCGAGAGCGAAAGAAACUGAACACGUUCAAGAAAUUUCUCGUCAUUAUUGUGUAUGUGUGCGUUGUGUGUAUGGUGCGCUCCACGCUCUUUGUGUAUUUAUGUACUUAUAGAGCACUUUUAAACAACUCGUCACGAAACAUCUCGUCGUUGCUUUGUUUUAUGUCCGGGCGUGUGCACUUCAAGCAGCUGCUCGCUUUAUAAAUUGUUUUUACAUCAUUGGCUAAGUCGUGUUUUGACUUUUGUUACGUCAUUUCCGGCUCUCCGUCGGGCAAACGACAACAGGCAGCAAGAAAAAAUGCGUCAGUUUUUUUUAAAAUAUGUAUUACCAAAUGUAAUUAAAUGCAGAGCGUCAACACGCAAAAGUCUCGGCCGAUGAGGUGUUCACCGAACAGAAUGAAAGCGGAAAUGAAGUUGACGAAAUGAACAGCAUGGACUAGCAAAUUAUUUGCUGUUAUAGUUGGAGUAAUAAUAACACAAAAAAUUAUACCUAAUCAUAGCAAUAAAUGUAAUAAUAAUAUGGGGAAAACGAUACGGAAAAUUAUGAUGGAAAUCAGGUUGAACCGAACAAAGCAACAACAGCAUAGAAAAAAACCAUAAACAAUUUGAACUGGAAUGUGCAAAAUCCAGGCGAAUUACGAGCCCGCGAGUGAACAACACAAUGAGUACACUGCAUUCAGUAUGCGCUGCGCAUUCUGUGUUGUUGGUCAUAAAUUUUUUGGAUAUUUGCAUGCAACGAAAUUCUGACCCUAUGACGGCUGCUCUUUGCCUUUCAAAUAUAACAUUUGGUUUAAGUAUUCAUUAGAGUUUUCUGUUUUACGAUCGAAAAUUGAUGGCAAGACUGUUUCGACGGAUGUAAAGUGAUUUAAUGGCUCAUGACUUGAACUUCUUAUUUAUAAGCAAAUACGACAAACAAGGAAAAAUACGCGUCAAGUGUGCUCCACCAUUCUAAAAUCAAAUAGAUUAAACGAUUUUAUUGAUGCUCGCAUUUCCGUCGCUCGGCGCUGUGAACACUUCACAUUUCCACGUCAUCAUCAAUUCAAAAGCAUUUUCGGUCGGUGUUAAGGCAAACACGUCAAGCGUUACCAUGCUACAAGUUCGGUUGAAUUCAUCAAACGCAAUCACUGUCAACGCGUAUAUCUUUGACGAACCGAAUGUCAUUUGUUACUUUGAUCACGCAGCAUUCAUUUAAUUUAUGAUUCUUACUUCUUUUGCGUGUCAUUUCAUUUAUUUCACUCAAUUUUACUUUGUCGCUUCAACAAGAACCUAAAGUUAAGCGCUAAAAACACGAAAUUAUCACCUGUGAGAUGAAUGACAAAUAAUUUAUUAAAAUCAACUUUGCUUUUUUUUUGUCUUCUUCUAUUCUAAAUUUGGAAGCCACUCGACGGUAUGUCCUUUAUUUUUUUUUAGUCAACUGGAUUUCAACAAGGGAAACGCAAUGAGAAAGUUUAGGUAUAUACAUGUAUACAUGUUCUAUAAAACUGAUUGACUGAUUGAAGUCUACGGUUCGAAGGGUCUUCAUUUAUUUACAUUGGAUGCAACUUUGAAGAUAAGGGGAACACAUUUAAUCCAUAGAAUAAACAAUGGGCUUUAGUUUUAUCAGAGAACGUGAUGUAUUGUACAGCUUAGAAAUUCCUGGCAUUCAUUGGGCAUGUGCUCGAUUCUUGUGUUUUCACAGUCCAACAAUUUUGAACGAACUGUGUUCUUACUGCUUUGUUUUAUGCGGAUUAAAUCGAGUUUGAAACGGAAUUUCUCGUGUAACUUGGCAAUUAUAUCUUCCUUUCUAAGUUAUCAAGUGGCCGAGAAACUUUUGCAUAUUUUGCAUAUUUCGUAUUCAUGAAUAGAAUACAUGUGAAAUCGCCUUACUUUCCUAAAUAGAAUACUUGAAAUUUGAUUGUAAUGUUGGAUGAAAGAAUAUAGCAAUAAAAUUCAGUCUGUUCAGGUGAGUAUCGACGCUAAAUGCAUCGAAAUGGUUUUGUUCGAAAAAUUUUGGAAGCCAAGAAAAGCCUGCAAUAAAUUGCUGCAAAUGAUUUAUUUCGUUCGCUAAAGUUUAAAGAAAAUACGAAAAAAAUUUCGUUUAAUCACUUUAAGGAUUGUUUUUAAUGCAAAAAAAAUUUGUGCUUCGAUUCGAUGAUUCUUCUAUUUUGUCAUGUCUGUUUUAAUGGCUAAAUUUUCAAGUUUUUUUUUCCAUUCAUGUUACAUUGUCAAAUGCGCUUAAAGGUUCAAAAUAAACUUCGUGUUGUUGUUUUAUUUAUUUCGGUCAAAUUUUUGCGGUUCUUUUCCAUUGAAAUUGAAAAACUUUUCAACAUCAAAGAAAUGCGAAUCUUCUUAUCGUGUGCACAAACACACACCCACAAAUUGAAUGCCAUUAAAAAAAAGCCCGCAUAAACAAUUCAAUUUUCAUAAUGUUCAACAAACACAUACAAGAAAUGGGGAGAAAAAAACUCAGUUAAAAUCCCUUUAUGGUGGAAUUUGCGAAAAGUUUUAUUAUUCGUGUGUCUGCACAACGGCAAAUAACAAAUAUUGAGGAUUCAAUGGAAUCACUCUGCACUGUACUCAAAUUAAAUUGAAAAUUUAUGAAAAUUGCUGGCUUUAUUCAAACAACGGAAAAGUUUGUCGAGUAAAUCAGUAACAUGCAUUGUAUUUGACAUUGAAAUCCAUUAAGCAGGCGUCUGAAGAUUGACUCCGACAUUUAAACAAUUAAUUUUACAGCUUUCGAUGACUUUGCUUAUUACACACAAAUUACAAUCGAAAUAUUGAAAGGAAAAAUGUUUGAUGCUGAAACAUUGAAAUUUUAGGUGAUGAAACAUAUUCGGCGAAGGAGAUGUCACUUUUGUUUUUCUAACGAAGUUUGUGUUUUCUAACGAAGCAAAAAAUUCACUUGUAGUUUUGACUGAAGAGACAGGAUUCAAAAUGAAAAGACAACAAGAAUUGAAGCAUGAAUGCGUUUAGUGUCACUAUGAGUUUUUCGGAUGCAUAAAGCAGUCCCCGAUUUCGCAGCACAAUACAUUUAUUAGCAUUUAUUUGUUGUGAAGUUGGCCGGCUGGACGAGUAUCUAGUAUUAAGCUUGCACCGAUGUGAUAACUACAGUCAAUUAUCAGUUUUAAAUGUCUGGAUGGCACAGAACGAGCUCAGUCAAAAUUACUGUCAAGUUUUUCCAUGUUUUGCAUAUCUAAAAUUUACAACCGCAUAGACAGUAACAACAGAACAAGAAAAACUGCCAGCCAAAUCCAAUACAUUUCUGUCUCUCAAUUGAACAAGCCUUUUAGCUAUUAUGUUUUGUCAGAAAAAUUGAUGUGAUGCUUUAAAAUACAUCCCAGCGCAUCACAGAAAACACCACAUAAAAUAUAAGUGAGCAAGAAAAACAUGGCGAGUGAGAGCCAUAACAGAGAAAAAGAAGAUCGAAAACGGUGUAGCGACUCAAAAUGGAAUGAAGAUUGAGGUUUUUUUUUUCUUUUGCACAAUGAAACACAUUUCAUGUGUUUUAUGUUGGAGAGAUAGACGCGAAAAGUACACAGUUCAGUAAACGCACAUCAGACUUCCCAGUGAAAUGCUGACACCGACGAAAAUAAGAGGCGAAAAAGAAUAAAAUGUAUGCCGAAUCCGGAGGAAAAACGAAGAAAAAUGAAACCAACAACGCACAAAACAAACUAAAUUAUCAUCAUGAAUAUAUAAAAUUGUAAUCAUGUCAGUUUGGUUGGCACGUAUAUAAUUUAAAAUAUUAAAUAUAAACAUUAAAAUAUGAGGCGAAGCGAAUUUAUGUAAAACUCAAGUCAGGGGAACUUCGCAGGGAAUAUGUUGCACAUGCUCUCACUCACAUCAAGAAGCCAAAUAUGAUAAAGUCAUAGAAUGUGUCAUUUUUUUCAUCUUUUUUUCAUUCCUUCUUUUACAAAAUAAAAACGAAAAA
Molecule: long non-coding RNA, 21225 nt
Organism: Sitodiplosis mosellana (orange wheat blossom midge)
Lineage: Eukaryota; Metazoa; Arthropoda; Insecta; Diptera; Cecidomyiidae
Exons: 5
Source: RefSeq, a predicted model, not a curated record